Molecule: ribosomal RNA, 466 nt
Filed under: Bacillus siamensis
Lineage: Bacteria; Bacillati; Bacillota; Bacilli; Caryophanales; Bacillaceae
Description: bacterial SSU rRNA
Rfam family: Bacterial small subunit ribosomal RNA
Source: RNAcentral
GGAAUCUUCCGCAAUGGACGAAAGUCUGACGGAGCAACGCCGCGUGAGUGAUGAAGGUUUUCGGAUCGUAAAGCUCUGUUGUUAGGGAAGAACAAGUGCCGUUCAAAUAGGGCGGCACCUUGACGGUACCUAACCAGAAAGCCACGGCUAACUACGUGCCAGCAGCCGCGGUAAUACGUAGGUGGCAAGCGUUGUCCGGAAUUAUUGGGCGUAAAGGGCUCGCAGGCGGUUUCUUAAGUCUGAUGUGAAAGCCCCCGGCUCAACCGGGGAGGGUCAUUGGAAACUGGGGAACUUGAGUGCAGAAGAGGAGAGUGGAAUUCCACGUGUAGCGGUGAAAUGCGUAGAGAUGUGGAGGAACACCAGUGGCGAAGGCGACUCUCUGGUCUGUAACUGACGCUGAGGAGCGAAAGCGUGGGGAGCGAACAGGAUUAGAUACCCUGGUAGUCCACGCCGUAAACGAUGAGUG